Long non-coding RNA from Homo sapiens (human), 591 nucleotides. The record is from Ensembl. NCBI's taxonomy places the organism in Eukaryota, Metazoa, Chordata, Mammalia, Primates, Hominidae.
UACAACCAGAAAGUUGCCUAUAGAUGAUUCAGCUAGAAGACACCAACUAGUGUGACCAACAAGGCAACUUAGUGCUACGUGGGAAGUCAGAGAGAAAUAAAUAUGCUUUUUUGAACCUGGCCGUUCAUACAACCUAGAGGAAACGUAACACAGGAAAAGCAGCAUUGAAACUCAGAAUCCAGAUUUAAGUCUCAAUUAACUCACUGGUUUUGGUUUUAGCCCUGAAAACCAAUCAUCUUGGUGUUAGCACUGAAAGUCAUGUGUUCCAGGAAACCCCUAAGUUCCAGGACUUGACCUCUUGCCCACCAGAUAACUCUUGUUAAAACAGAUUUCAAGUCAUAAUCUCUCCUGAAGACUCUUGAUUCAUUGUCAUGCAUCCCCUGGUACUAUUAUACACAUCCAUUAUAAGAAGAAAGCUAACAGAAAAUAUGCUUCCUUGCCAGAGUAUACUACUAAGUUGGAAUCACAGCAGUAUUUUCUUCUAUGAACUCUAUAGCUUAGCUUAUUAAUAUGCUGAUGAAGUCAUUAGCAGUUUCAAUAUUUGCAAUGAAAUCAAUUUGGUUAUACUCAUAAUAAAUUAAAAUUAAAAUA